This 1986-nucleotide ribosomal RNA is filed under the name Triticum aestivum (bread wheat). RNAcentral's name for it is "partial small subunit ribosomal RNA". The record is from RNAcentral. Lineage: Eukaryota; Viridiplantae; Streptophyta; Magnoliopsida; Poales; Poaceae.
AUGUUCCUCCGGGCCGAGCUGGAGAGCAUGCAGGCCGCCCUCGAGAGAGUAUCCUCGUCGUCGGCGCAGCCGGUGGACAGGCAGGUCAGGAUCUGGGCAGGGCAAGUCAGGGAGCUCUCCUACGACGUCGAAGACAGCAUCGACAGGUUCAUGGUGCGCGUCGACCUCCAUCGUCCGGGGUUCAGCGGGUUCAUCGGCAGGUGCCUGAGCCUGCUGACCACGGCCCGGAUCCGCCACCGGAUCGCCGCGGACAUCAGGGUCAUCAAGGGCCGCGUCAAGGAGGUCGCUGACCGGCGCGACAGGUACAGGGUCGACGACGAUGUUUUCGCCGUCCGGCGGCCUGCGGGCACCACCACCGUUGACCCUCGCUUGCAUGGCAUGUACGAGGAUUCGACGAGGCUCGUCGCGGUGGGCGGGCCGAGGGCGGAGCUCUGCAGGCUUUUGGUGGAGCAAGAAGGCGCGGCUGCCAUGGAUGGUCAACUGAAGGUGGUGUCCAUUGUCGGGGCUGGUGGCCUGGGCAAGACGACGCUAGCGAACGUCGUGUACCAGCAGAUCAGAGGGCAGUUCGAUUGCGACGCCUUUGUCACCGUGUCCCUCAAGCCUGAUCUGAGGAGGGUUUUGGGCAGCUUGCUCCGUCAGGUUAGUAAGCAGAGUUACAGCGAGGUUGAAGCAUGGGAUGUGGUGGAACUCAUUGACAAAAUCAGACAAGUUCUUCGGGAUAAGAGGUACUUAAUUAUAGUUGAUGAUAUAUGGGACGAAUCAGCUUGGAAUUGGAUCAAGACUGUAUUAGUUGAGAACAACUGCAGUAGCAGAGUAAUCACAACAACACGAAUAGCUGCAGUGGCUGCAUCAUGUAGCUCUUCCAUCGACGGUAACAUUUAUAAACUAAAUCCUCUUGGUCAUGAUGAUUCGAAGAAGUUGUUCUAUGAAAGAAUAUUUGGGAGUGAAGAUGGUUCUCAUGUGGAGCUGAGAGAAAUAUCUGAGAAAAUCAUAAGAAAGUGUGAUGGUGUACCAUUAGCUAUCAUCACUAUUGCCAGCCUAUUGUCUCACAAACCAAAGAACAUACAUGAAUGGGACACUGUCAACAAAUCAAUCGGUUCUGGACUUGAGAAAUUCCCCAAUAUGGAGAACAUGCGUCAGAUAUUUUCUAUUAGUUAUUAUGAUUUGCCGUCCCAUCUAAAACCCUGCUUUCUAUACCUGAGUGUUUAUCCGGAGGAUUAUACAAUAUUGAGUCAUCACUUGGUACGAAGAUGGAUAGCCGAAGGCCUUGUCCAUGGAAGUAAUGUGGAUACCUUAUAUAAAGUGGGGUUCGGUUACUUCAAUGAUCUUAUUAACCGAAGCCUAAUUCAACCACAACAUGUAGAUUCUCGUGGCAACGUAGGGGCUUGUCGUGUACAUGAUAUGGUCCUUGAUUUGAUCACAUCCUUAUCAAUUGAAGAAAAUUUUGUCACUACAUUAGAUAGCCAUCAACCUAGUGACCUUUCAAAGAAGAUACAUCGAUUAUCCAUCCAAAAGAAUCAAGAAAAUCACACCAUGCCACUUUCUAUGAUGAGCUUGUCCCACGUCAGAUCAUUUAUCAUCUUUCCUAGUGCUACAAAAUUGAUGCCGCAUCUUUCAAGAUUUCAAGUUCUGCGAGUGUUGGAUCUAGAAGGUUGCCGUGACUUGGAGAAUCAUCAUAUUGAUGGUAUUGGGAAUUUAUUUCAUUUGAGGUAUCUAGGACUAAGGGAUACAAAUAUUACCAAAAUCCCAAAAGGAGUAGGCACUAGUAGAAAAGGGGGCAAUGGUCCAGGCCGGGUCAGCCCAUUAGUCCCGGUUCAAUCCAGAACCGGGACCAAUGGGGGCAUUGGACCUGGUUCGUUAGCCCCGGGGGCCGGCCGGGCCACGUGGGCCAUUGGUCCCGGUUCGUCUGGACCUUUUGGUCCCGGUUGGUGGAACGAACCGGGACCAAUGUUCCUUGCUCCUGGCCCACCAACCGGGACCAAUUAA